Helianthus annuus (common sunflower) is the source of this 1899-nucleotide long non-coding RNA. RefSeq lists it as uncharacterized. NCBI's taxonomy places the organism in Eukaryota, Viridiplantae, Streptophyta, Magnoliopsida, Asterales, Asteraceae. The transcript is spliced from 3 exons. The record is from RefSeq and is a predicted model, not a curated record.
ACUUUAUGUGACCAUCUUUACUUGCCCAUCCUUCUGCUCCUUCGUCUGCAACCAGUAACUCUGCCCUACAGUAUAUCAUGAAGAUGCUCUUCUCAUGUCCUCCAAUUUUCAGACACGGUCUCUGCUCUUCUUUUCAAUUCACUUUCUCAUCUAAAUCUGUAACCCUAAUUCAAUUUCUUUACCUCAAAUCUCAACCAAAAAAAAACCUAAAUUCCGAAAUUAUUCAUCAAAACCCAACCCUCUGACUUUAUUAUGUUUAAGUUCAUCCUUAUUUCUACCGAUUCGCAGUGUAUCCAGCUUGAAUAUCAUCGAUUAACGUUUAAACAAAGAAUUAAGGUGUUCGAUUGUUUGAAUCUUGAAAGUUUAGAUUUAGCUGCUACAACGAAGUCGGAUGCUUACAUCAGCAAUUUGUAUUCGGUUGUGCGUGAUGAGAAUGGGAAUGUGAAGCUUGAUUGUCCAGCUAUUGGGAAACAGUUUUCUGCUGAAUAAAUUUCAGUACAGGUAUAUGUUAUUAUUUACCAGUAGUUGAUAACUAAUUAGGUUAGAACGUUAAAUUUCAGCACAGUAACUGUUUGCUGCUGAAGAAAAGUCAUCGAGAUGAUCAUCUCAAGUCAAUGUUUCUAGAAGCAUACACUUUUUCUACAAUGGAUCACCAAUUACAUCCUCAAGUUGUCGUCGGAUUAAUACAUUGUUAUGAGAGGUCUCCCAUGGUGAUCCCCAAAAGGAAGCAGUGUUGACUUUAUGGUGCUGGUACAACCACCAGUGGGGUAAGACAACCGCUUACGAGUCAGUCCGUCAAUGUUUUCAAGUGCACAUUAAUAAGAAACAAGUUGGAACCUGAAUAGGAACAAAUCAAUGGAACAAAGAUCGACUCGUCUAAAACAGUUUAAUUUGGUGAUUCUUGACUUUAUGAUCACCACUAGUGCGAUCUCAACAUAAUUCAUAAUACUUGGAUUGUUUAUUUAUUAUAUCUAGCAUUCGGAACUGAAAAUAGUGAUUAAAUAUACAAUCUUUUCUUAGAAUAAGAAGUUUAAUACCCAAAAAAUGUCCAACUUGAUCAUCUGCUUGAUUUCAUGAUUGAUUUUGUAUUUGGCCUAAGUUGUUGUGACAGUGUUUCCUUAAUCUAAUUUUGUAAUGCAUGAACUUCCCAUUACUAAAAGGCCAAAAGUUGCAGUUGUAAGCAGCGGUCCCGCAGAUUUGUUUGCGUCUCUUGUACUUGCCGAAUUUAGCGUUGAUGUUACUUUGAUGGAAAGAGGAAACCCAUAGAGAAACGUGGGCGUGAUAUUGGUGCUUUGGUGAUCAGAAAAAUACUACAAUCCAAAAGCAAUUUUUGUUUUGGCGAGGGUGGAGGAGGUACUUGGAGUGAUGGAAAGUUGGUAACUAGAAUCGGGAAGAACAACGGAAGUGUUUUGUCGGAUACCGAACCAGGAUAUUGGAAACAUCCUGCGGAGUAUCUUGGUCAUUACUAACAACUUGCUUGUAGACGUUGGCUAUAAAGGACUAACGUUCAUGAGGACCAAGUCACCCUGAAGAGUCGCUCAAAUUGUUUAGGAAAAGAACGUUAAAGCCGAAAGAAGUUGUCUACAACGGUCACAAGGGAAUAUUCCAAGUAUCCCGGAUUUUUAGGAUAGUUAGUUAAUUCUUGUAACUAUAUAAACAGAUGGCCAGAUCAUAGGAAACACACACAAUUCGAGCUCUCAUACUCGUACACUCUCAUUUCUAGCUGCAAACACACUUUAACACUCACAAUUUUCAAUAGUUGUAACACCUAGAUUCGAUCUGAGCAUUAUCCUGCAUUGUAUCCUGGUUAUUCAAGCAAUAAAAAGAACAAGGUAGCUGACGAUUGUCAGCUCCCAAGGUUUUAUGCCGGAGAUCUAAAUUGAUCAAGGGCUUUCCUCG